AUGGCGGAGGAGUGCUGCAGCGCGGACCUGCUGGAGUGGAUCGGCCCUGACGUCUCAGCAUGCGUCUUCGGCCGCCUUGACCACCCCGCCGACCUUGUCCGCGCCGCCGCUGUCUCCAGAACCUGGCGCAGAUGCGUGGUCGAGAGCGGCUUGAGCAAGAGCCUUUGCCUGCGGCUGUGCCCCGAGGUCGCCACCGUCGCCGCGGCGGCAGAGGUGACCAGAUCGCCGCCUUCAACCGCCUCCCCCGAGUCAGGCCACGAGAGGGACUACAGGAUAUACUCCAACCUCGCCGGCGCCUACGUCUCCGACUCCGGCGAGCCCUCCGCGGAAUGCAUCUUGCACUGUAUCGGCGCCUCAAGCACCGACGACUUCCCAAUUGAGACCAUGGAGAACACCCUCGACGAGGAGGAGAUAAUCAAUUUCCGCCCGUCCUAUUGGUCGAGCGGCGGGGCGGACGACCCCGAGGCGCCGGAGAGCCUUACCUACAGGCUCAACUCUGACAUCUGCAUUGUCGAUGAGGUUCGGGUGCGACCGUACCAAGCCUUUUUUCAGGAUGGUGACCCUAUAUACUCUUCAAAGAUGGUGCGAUUUCGGAUGGGCCAUUACAAGCUUCCGCGAGGAUCAGAGACGUUUGUAAUGGAUGAUUAUGAGAAUAAGAUGGUAAAUACUGAUGAAAAAUAUAUGUGGACUUACACUUCGCCAGAGUUCCCUAUGUUACAGAAAAACGAACUACAAUCCUUCAAGCUCCCACGCCCAGUCCUUUGCAUUGGUGGUGUGGUGAUGAUUGAACUCUUGGGCAGAGUACAGAAACAAGAAGCAGAUGAUAUGUACUACAUAUGUGUUUGCCAUGCUGAAGUGAUGGGGCGUUCACUCUCACCACUUUUCAUGGUUGACAUCUCGGAUCCUGAAGGUUAUUCAAUCCUCAAGUACUUACCGGGUGCCAAAGACCUAUCCAUCGAUGACUUUUUGCAAGAUGAUACCAAAGACUCGCCGGAGUGGCACUAUCUUGUUGAUAGAUACAGGCAGAUGAAUCACAGAGCAGUAGUAGUGAGUGCACUUCUGGAGCCUGUACAUUACAUGCAUGAUGUAGGUGGCAUCUCAGACGAUGAUCAUGAGGAUGAUGUAGGUGGCAUCUCAGACGAUGAUUAUCUUGAGUAG
This 1158-nucleotide ribosomal RNA is filed under the name Triticum aestivum (bread wheat). Its description in RNAcentral is "partial small subunit ribosomal RNA". The record is from RNAcentral. Lineage: Eukaryota; Viridiplantae; Streptophyta; Magnoliopsida; Poales; Poaceae.